Molecule: transfer RNA, 84 nt
Filed under: Lachnospiraceae bacterium
Lineage: Bacteria; Bacillati; Bacillota; Clostridia; Lachnospirales; Lachnospiraceae
Description: tRNA-Tyr
Rfam family: tRNA
About the family: Transfer RNA (tRNA) molecules are approximately 80 nucleotides in length. Their secondary structure includes four short double-helical elements and three loops (D, anti-codon, and T loops).
Source: RNAcentral
CGGCAGAUGGCACAGCGGCGACUGCAGCGGACUGUAAAUCCGUGACAUUGAAACACGUUGGUUCGAGUCCAACUCUGCCGACCA